Long non-coding RNA from Cyprinus carpio carpio, 1239 nucleotides. NCBI's taxonomy places the organism in Eukaryota, Metazoa, Chordata, Actinopteri, Cypriniformes, Cyprinidae. The record is from Ensembl.
UUGCCAGCUCAUAUUUUCCGGAAAGGCGUUUCAUCAGCUGAACAAUUGGUAUGUUGUUAUAAAAAAAACGUUAAACUCUGCACUUCUGUCCUUCACAGCCUCUUUUUCAUCCUGUCGAAACUUAAAUAUGGCAUCACCCUGAGUAAGAUCUACGUUCUCAGCAAUGCAAAUCCAUCUACUCUGGUGCUACUUAUAAUUUUGGGUCUGCAUUUCUUUUAGAAAGAAAAAAAAGUGCAUUUUAUAUAGGCAGAGUUAUAUCUGGCUGCUGGCUCCUUCCUUUUUAGGAGAGCGUGGUCUGGAAGCUGUUCAUGGUUGUGCAGGUUUUAAUGAACUCGUACUCUUACGUAAGCACUGUUGCAGAUCUUGGCUUCUCAUUGUGCAGUUGAGUAAGAAUCUGUUCAUCAUGUUGUAAGAUCAGAUAUGUCCACUUUGAUUCAGUGAAACAGGAGAAAUUAAAGUAGAUACAGCAGCAUUACAAGUUAAAGAAGUGAGUGAGAACUGUUAACAGACUUUCAAAAUAACAAGAUGCUAAUUCAUGAAGACAGUCUCUCAGGCCUUGUUGAUUUUUUUUCCCACUUUCUAGCAUCUAAAAUGUAUUUGAUCAUUCAUUAGAGACCAAGCAAUCACCUAAACAACUGAGAACUAUCAUUAGCAAUUAUAAACUGUAUCAGUCAGGAAAGCUGCUUGCACUCAGAGCAAGAUCUUUUUUUUUUUUUUUUAUGCUUACUGACAUACUCAACCUAAAAGCAGUUUGCUUUCUAACUCCUAGUUUUCACCUUUGUCUUCACAGGUCACUUUACACUGGAUCUGCACUGCAGCAUGCUUGCAUCAUCAAUUAGUGGUCACUGCAGUACGUUGCUUUGUCAACUGCAUGAACGGUUGGAGCACAUUUUUGGCGGAGAUCAGACAUGAGGUGCUUUGAAGUCUAGGAAAGCUCUUCUGAAAAAAUGUCAGUAAUGUUAAUUUGAACUUGAACUGGUCUCUCACGUGCACAGAUCUUUAAAUAUGCCCCAACAGCUUGAAAAUGCAAUAGUGGUUCAGGCAUGAUGCAGGAUUGUUGUCACAAUUACAAGCCUGUGUGUGUGUGUGUGUGUUAGAUUGAGUCUGAAUCAGAAAGAUUCACUCCAUGCCAAAUGCCUCCUCCACACUAUGAUAAAACCUGGAAUUAGCAGAGCAAAUUUUCAGUCCAGUUAUAACAGUGCACCAAUGUCCACCCCAGUUCAUAAUUUUUUUUCCCAU